GUCCUUCGGGACUUUGAGAGCGGCGUACGGGUGCGUAACACGUGUGCAACCUACCUUUAUCAGGGGAAUAGCCUUUCGAAAGGAAGAUUAAUACCCCAUAAUAUAUUGAAUGGCAUCAUUUGAUAUUGAAAACUCCGGUGGAUAGAGAUGGGCACGCGCAAGAUUAGAUAGUUGGUGAGGUAACGGCUCACCAAGUCAAUGAUCUUUAGGGGUCCUGAGAGGGAGAUCCCCCACACUGGUACUGAGACACGGACCAGACUCCUACGGGAGGCAGCAGUGAGGAAUAUUGGACAAUGGGUGAGAGCCUGAUCCAGCCAUCCCGCGUGAAGGAUGACGGUCCUAUGGAUUGUAAACUUCUUUUGUAUAGGAAUAAACCUACUCUCGUGAGAGUAGCUGAAGGUACUAUACGAAUAAGCACCGGCUAACUCCGUGCCAGCAGCCGCGGUAAUACGGAGGGUGCAAGCGUUAUCC
This 471-nucleotide ribosomal RNA is filed under the name Chryseobacterium sp. Air266. RNAcentral's name for it is "bacterial SSU rRNA". It matches the Rfam family "Bacterial small subunit ribosomal RNA", at positions 75 to 546 of the family's 1533-position model. The record is from RNAcentral. Lineage: Bacteria; Pseudomonadati; Bacteroidota; Flavobacteriia; Flavobacteriales; Weeksellaceae.